CACCCCGCCAGGCUCCCACCCCUGGGGGUGGGCGGGAAGGGUCUCCACUCACCUCCUUGCCGGUGGUCUCACACGAUGUUGGGGUCUGAGUGGCAGGCGACUUCUCGUGCAGCCUUCUCGUUCGAGCAUACGACAGCUUAUGCAGGAGCAGGUGUUGCUGGUCCCAUUUUGCAGAUGGAGAAGCUGAGGUCAGAGGUCACAGCGCAGUGUUUCCUCGACGUCUUUGGCCAGGAGACCCUUUUUCACGUGAAGGCAAACCCGAAACCCAUGCUUCUUCAGCACGGCCCCCCCUCGGCAGGUUCUCACCCCACAGGCCGAGCUGACGCACAGGACGGGGCAUUCCAAAAGUUGUUGGAAAGCCGCAUUCAAGGAUGAGCUUAUUUUGGUGUGAACUUUUUUGAAAUCCAUGCCUCUUGAGGGGUCUCCAAAGGGUUUAUGGGAAAUUCAUUUUAUGGGAAAAAAAAAAAAGGUAUGAAUGGAUUUGAAAAAUUAUCUGCACCAAAAUCAAUUUGUAGCAAAUCUUUUGAAAUACGCCCCUCCUACCCCAGAGCCCCUGCGUGCCUGCCUCUAGUGCGGGUCUCCCAGGCCCUGGGCACCCCAGUCUGCAGGCGAGGUCUUACGUGGGUGUGGACUUGUCUGACUCCCAGGAGACCCUCGGCGCCCCGGGGCCCGGCCUCUGUGAAGACCCUCUGCCCAGCUUGAGCCGUCCAUGUUGAUCUGGGGUUUUGCCCAAGUGAGUAGAGAGCAGAGACUCGGGAGAGGGCUCCCAGAGUGGGAGAAAUGGCCCGUGUGACAUCGGGGAUGAGGGGACAGUAAACAGAUGAGCUUGGCUGGAGCAGAACGGUGUUUGGGAACAGUGACAGAUGAGGCUGAGACCUGGGAGAAGCAGCCACGGCAUUUAGAUGGGACGGCAGGGAGCCGCGGGGAGCCACGGGACAUCCUGGAGCCGGCAAGCGGCAGCCGGGAAGCAGCCUGGCCCGGGGGGGCUGCGGCAGGGGAGGGGCAGGCGCCAGCAGGCGUGCAGGGCUGCAGCCGAGGGGUGCCACUGCGGUGUAGGAAGAGGGCAGGGGCCCAGCUGUCCUGGCUCAGCCUUUGGUAGAAGGGGAAGAAUUCAAUUACGUCCACAUUCACAAAUCUCCAAGACUGCUUGGAGAGAAAGAAGCCAGCGACAUUCCGGGGAGAGAAGCAGAGUUCGCCCACAUCGGGGUCAGCACCAAGUUCAUUACCGGGGUGUCACCAUUACCAUUAAGCGGCUUCCUGUUCCACAGCCUGGGUGGGGUCUGCCGACCUCAGAGCGGCCGGUGUGUCGCUCCGUCUCCUGUGGGUCCGCCGUGCCUUCCCCACAAGCGCUAUUUCUUCUGCAGUAA
Molecule: long non-coding RNA, 1367 nt
Filed under: Oryctolagus cuniculus (rabbit)
Lineage: Eukaryota; Metazoa; Chordata; Mammalia; Lagomorpha; Leporidae
Description: lncRNA (ENSOCUG00000037856.1)
Source: RNAcentral